AAAUUAAUAAGCUAUCCAGCCGAAGAUGAGGUAAGUCGUAACAAGGUAAGUGUACCGGAAGGUGCACUUAGACUAC
RNAcentral lists this ribosomal RNA (76 nucleotides) under Carduelis carduelis (Eurasian goldfinch). RNAcentral's name for it is "partial 12S ribosomal RNA". Lineage: Eukaryota; Metazoa; Chordata; Aves; Passeriformes; Fringillidae. The record is from RNAcentral.